RNAcentral lists this ribosomal RNA (301 nucleotides) under uncultured bacterium. Its description in RNAcentral is "partial 16S ribosomal RNA". It matches the Rfam family "Bacterial small subunit ribosomal RNA", at positions 509 to 807 of the family's 1533-position model. The record is from RNAcentral.
CAGUCGCCACGGUAAUACGGAGGGUGCAAGCGUUAAUCGGAAUUACUGGGCGUAAAGCGCACGCAGGCGGUCUGACAAGUCAGAUGUGAAAUCCCCGGGCUUAACCUGGGAACUGCAUUUGUGACUGUAUAGCUAGAGUACGGCAGAGGGGGAUGGAAUUCCGCGUGUAGCAGUGAAAUGCGUAGAUAUGCGGAGGAACACCGAUGGCGAAGGCAAUCCCCUGGGCCUGUACUGACGCUCAUGCACGAAAGCGUGGGGAGCAAACAGGAUUAGAGACCCCAGUAGUCCCUGUCUCUUAUAC